GAACCUCCGUUUGGUGACAGCGGAGGGACAUUACCGAGUUUACAACUCCCAAACCCCUGUGAACAUACCACUUGUUGCCUCGGCGGAUCAGCCCGCUCCCGGUAAAACGGGACGGCCCGCCAGAGGACCCCUAAACUCUGUUUCUAUAUGUAACUUCUGAGUAAAACCAUAAAUAAAUCAAAACUUUCAACAACGGAUCUCUUGGUUCUGGCAUCGAUGAAGAACGCAGCAAAAUGCGAUAAGUAAUGUGAAUUGCAGAAUUCAGUGAAUCAUCGAAUCUUUGAACGCACAUUGCGCCCGCCAGUAUUCUGGCGGGCAUGCCUGUUCGAGCGUCAUUUCAACCCUCAAGCACAGCUUGGUGUUGGGACUCGCGUUAAUUCGCGUUCCUCAAAUUGAUUGGCGGUCACGUCGAGCUUCCAUAGCGUAGUAGUAAAACCCUCGUUACUGGUAAUCGUCGCGGCCACGCCGUUAAACCCCAACUUCUGAAUGUUGACCUCGGAUCAGGUAGGAAUACCCGCUGAACUUAAGCAUAUCAUAGGCGGGGGAGGAAA
This 551-nucleotide ribosomal RNA is filed under the name Fusarium sp. Its description in RNAcentral is "eukaryotic LSU rRNA". The stretch from base 182 to 335 matches the Rfam family "5.8S ribosomal RNA". The record is from RNAcentral. Lineage: Eukaryota; Fungi; Ascomycota; Sordariomycetes; Hypocreales; Nectriaceae.